GUCUAGCUGGCUCAAUCAGUAAAGCAUGUGACUCUGGAUCUCAGGGUCGUGAGUUCAAGCCCCACACUGGGUG
RNAcentral lists this transfer RNA (73 nucleotides) under Ailuropoda melanoleuca (giant panda). It matches the Rfam family "tRNA". Rfam says of the family: Transfer RNA (tRNA) molecules are approximately 80 nucleotides in length. Lineage: Eukaryota; Metazoa; Chordata; Mammalia; Carnivora; Ursidae. The record is from Rfam by way of RNAcentral.